AUUGACUAAAGUAGUUAGUUGUUAUCUUUCUAGUCAAUAAAACUUUAUGAUUAUAUAUUUCUAUAAAUCACAAGUUAGCAUUGAUACCAUAAUUAGUUUUAUUAAUUAAUGGUGAAGUAUUUGUCAUGCUUUCCAUCUGCUCGAUAGUACUAUUUUUCUUGUGAAUGUUCUUUCUUGCUGUUAGUUAGAUUUUUCUACUCUUUGCUGCCUUUAUUUUGCCCAAGUCAAUGGUGAUAGUCUCUUUUCUCCUAUAGAUACAGAGAAGGACUUCUCUCUUUGCAAAUAUAGUUGUCUGUGUGAUUCCCUAUUUAGCAGUGUCCCCAUCUCUUUCUUGGAACCAUACCACAACCAGGAGAGCUCUGGCUGACAGCCCACGAACCUUGUUUCCACUGGUAUAAAGAAAGGGUUUAUACCUUAGGGUGUGCCCAUCACGUUUCAAGAGCUGUGCUUUAUUCUUCAACAUCAGCAACAACAUCCUCUCUCUGCUGCCUAGGACAUGCACUCCUACUCUGUUGCUUUUGGCAGCCUUUCUGCUCAUGUUGUGGUUUGUCUCCUAAUAUUUCGAAAAAUGGGGUUUGUGUUUCUCAUCUCUGUGUUGCUUUUACAUGAAUUUUCAGGAUGGAGAGAAAUACUAGUUUUAUCCUGGUAUGGUCAAAUAAGAAAUGUAAUACUAGCUGAACUUGUAAAAAAGUUUGUCUGUAGUUAUGUGACAGACACAACAUUUUAUGUGAAACAUUUUAUGUACAAGUGCAUCUGCGUUACACAUUUAUUGCAUUGUUGUUAUUUGGAAUCAGGAGUUAAAAUAUGCUCACUUUCCUUUACCAAUAACUAGUCGGAUCAAGCCAACUUUUGUGAACAGUGAGUGUUCCAUGAUUGUUUGUUAUGUAAGAAGCUGUAUGAACUUUAAACCCAGUUCAUUAAUAAUACAGUACCAGAAAACUAUAAAUAUUUAUAAUAGCCUUUUGCAUUUAAAAAUUCUUUAUAGCUUUAAAUGCUUUUUUCACAUAUGAUCUCACUUUGGUUGUAACAGUGUCUCCAUUUUAAAUGAGGACACUGAAGCACAAGACAAGUGACUUGCUCAAAGGCUCAAAGUCGUAAAGAAAGUCAGGAGCCAUGUUAACAAUAGAAAUCAGGUACCCCAAAUCUCAGCUCUGAGUUGUAGGUUUGGAAUAACCAAUGAUUUGAAGUUGCCAUACUGAUUAGGAGUCAGCCAACAGCUCUAAUCGUGUCAAUAGAUAAGUAGAUCCAUACUAUAUGUGAUGAUGAGAGAGUUUGAAUCUGGAAUUGUAACAGAUUUAGGGUAGCUGCAUAUAAAAUUUUUAUUGUGGAUAAUAUAAAUAAUAAAGAUUUCUGGUCUGAAAUGUAAAUUUAGUAUACUGAAAAGCAAAUACUGAGAUUAAGGGUAGUGGUGCUUUAUUUUAUAGUUUGCCUUUUAAAAUCUAAUAAUAACGUUUAUCUGGUAAUGAUUAUUUAUAUCUUUUCAGUUUCUUAGUAUCAUUGUUUUUGUAAAGAAUGAAACCUGUAUCUGAAAUCUGAUGGCUACUAUAUUUUUACCCAUGAAAGAUCAAAUGAUAUUUAUUAAAAUUUUUAAGGAGUCAGUUAAUUUCAUAACUGGGAUGCCUUACAGCAUUCUUAGGAAUCUGAAGAUAAACAGCUAGCUGAGAAACCAUAAUUAGUAGAGGCUCGAAAAGUAAGACUUUCUGAUAAGACCUAAGUUUUUUGUAUCUGCUUCCCAAUUAAUUAUGCAAGAUCUACAUUAAUUAGCAAAGUACUUGGUAUUUUAUUUGAUCACUUAUCUUAAUAUACUCCAGUUUCUAUAUUACAAUAACAGUAAAACCUAGUGAGAGGAUUGUGUAUCAUGAAACAGCAGUAAAACUUUCAAAGAAAAGCCUAUUCUUGCCAUUCUCAAAUCUAAACAAUUUAACUGGUGUAAAAUAUGUUAAUUUGAUGUACUGAAAUAAUUGUUUUUUCUUUCAUUAAUUAAGGAUUCAUACAAUACUUGUGUACUUUCACCUCUAUAGAUAGAGUGAAAGAAGUAACUACUAUUCUUUAGUGUAUUGGUUCUUAGGGGAAAUCUUUGGGAAGAUUUUGUUAGUCUUUUCCUGAGAAACACUUCAGGAAUUCACAUCUCCCUCAUGAUAUUCUGAAAUAAUGUUUAUGAAAGACAAUAUCUUUAUCUUCUGAAAAAGAUAAUAUGAUUUCUCGAUGCCUAGAUAGUUAUUUAAAAAUUGUGCUAUUUUAUUUUUAUUAUGUUAUUAGGAGUCUAAUUUUAUAUUAUUCUGCAAAUAAUAGUAAUGAAGAGCAAUACAGAGAAGGUACAGGUCAUUAUUCUGGUAGACUGAAUGAGUGAAAGAAGCAAGUGUAAUUCAGUGUGCAAGUAUUAAGAUCUCGAGAGGGGGCAUUGAGCACUGCAAGAAUGAUAUAAUACAUAAUGACAGGUCCUUGAGAUUACCCCAUCAUCCUCUUCAAAGUGAUGGAGCUCUACCUUAGCUUUUAAGAGCCUGGUGAGAAGGCAGAGUUCCUGUAGCAAGGAGAGCCACUAUGUUUCCCUGUUAUCAUAUGCUAUUUUUUUUCCUUAUAGCACUGGUAGCCCAAAGCUCAUACUGCAUUUCUGAUUUGGUCCUUAUCCUGACACAUAUAUGUCAGUAGAUCUUAUGAAACAUCUCACAACACUUCCUUUCUGUUCUAGUACAUCCUGAGGUUCUCUCUGGAAUAGUGCUCUGGACCUGGAAGGUUCCUUUAUCUAAAAUAUUCAAAAUCCUCUGACUUACACCCGUCUCAGAUUACUUUGAACCACAUCACAAUUGGUAAAAGUCUCCCCAAUUAAAAUUAAAUUACCUCUGUGAUUGAUUUUGGCAACCUUUUAGAAGGGUUUUGUGAAAUUUUAUUAAUUAAAAUUAAACUGUGAAUGCAGUUUAGAGU
Phyllostomus discolor (pale spear-nosed bat) is the source of this 2922-nucleotide long non-coding RNA. RefSeq lists it as uncharacterized. The record is from RefSeq and is a predicted model, not a curated record. The transcript is spliced from 2 exons. Lineage: Eukaryota; Metazoa; Chordata; Mammalia; Chiroptera; Phyllostomidae.